Molecule: ribosomal RNA, 563 nt
Filed under: Alternaria sp.
Lineage: Eukaryota; Fungi; Ascomycota; Dothideomycetes; Pleosporales; Pleosporaceae
Description: LSU rRNA
Rfam family: Eukaryotic large subunit ribosomal RNA
Source: RNAcentral
GGAUUGCCCUAGUAACGGCGAGUGAAGCGGCAACAGCUCAAAUUUGAAAUCUGGCUCUUUUAGAGUCCGAGUUGUAAUUUGCAGAGGGCGCUUUGGCUUUGGCAGCGGUCCAAGUUCCUUGGAACAGGACGUCACAGAGGGUGAGAAUCCCGUACGUGGUCGCUGGCUAUUGCCGUGUAAAGCCCCUUCGACGAGUCGAGUUGUUUGGGAAUGCAGCUCUAAAUGGGAGGUACAUUUCUUCUAAAGCUAAAUAUUGGCCAGAGACCGAUAGCGCACAAGUAGAGUGAUCGAAAGAUGAAAAGCACUUUGGAAAGAGAGUCAAACAGCACGUGAAAUUGUUGAAAGGGAAGCGCUUGCAGCCAGACUUGCUUACAGUUGCUCAUCCGGGCUUUUGCCCGGUGCACUCUUCUGUAGGCAGGCCAGCAUCAGUUUGGGCGGUAGGAUAAAGGUCUCUGUCACGUACCUCUCUUCGGGGAGGCCUUAUAGGGGAGACGACAUACUACCAGCCUGGACUGAGGUCCGCGCAUCUGCUAGGAUGCUGGCGUAAUGGCUGUAAGCGGCCC